RNAcentral lists this microRNA precursor (56 nucleotides) under Mus musculus (house mouse). RNAcentral's name for it is "microRNA mmu-mir-12200 precursor". The record is from miRBase by way of RNAcentral. Lineage: Eukaryota; Metazoa; Chordata; Mammalia; Rodentia; Muridae.
AAACAAACCAGAGGCUCACACUGAUGAUUGUCAUAGUGUGAAUCUCCGGCGCGUUU